UACGUAGGGGGCUAGCGUUGUCCGGAAUCAUUGGGCGUAAAGCGCGUGUAGGCGGUCCGGUAAGUCCGCUGUGAAAGUCGGGGGCUCAACCCUCGGAUGCCGGUGGAUACUGUCGGGCUUGAGUACGGAAGAGGCGAGUGGAAUUCCUGGUGUAGCGGUGAAAUGCGCAGAUAUCUGGAGGAACACCGGUGGCGAAGGCGGCAUCCUGGACCGACACUGACACUGAGGAGCGAAAGCCAGGGGAGCAAACGGG
Molecule: ribosomal RNA, 253 nt
Filed under: uncultured bacterium
Lineage: Bacteria
Description: partial 16S ribosomal RNA
Rfam family: Bacterial small subunit ribosomal RNA
Source: RNAcentral